Molecule: long non-coding RNA, 283 nt
Filed under: Elaeis guineensis (African oil palm)
Lineage: Eukaryota; Viridiplantae; Streptophyta; Magnoliopsida; Arecales; Arecaceae
Description: long non-coding RNA (EGUI_LNC036866)
Source: RNAcentral
CUAGCUUUAAGGCUAACUUGAAUCUAAUAGCUUAGAAAUUGGAUAAAGUCAAUCUUCUUGUCCAGAAGUUAGAUCAAGUCCUAGCCCUAGGUCAACAAUCUCCUGUAUAAUACACAUCACCUUCUAAUUAUCAAGAGAUUUAUUUUAUCUGUGCCAGCCCAACCCAUCAUGUGAGUAAAUAUCUCACGGCUGCACAGCUUUCACCUUUCAUCCAAAAAUAAGUCCAAGCUACAUAAGGCUACUCAAAGUCAGUUAAUGAUCCAUUCUCGAAUACAUAUAACCA